AUGCAUACCAGGAGCAUGUCAGUGAAUUGGUCAUUUUUGAGUCGAAGGGAAAUUAAGUUUCGAUCGGAAGCGGACUAUCUUGAGGAACCAUGUUCAGUUUGGUCUGACUGCCACCAUACUGCAAUUAUUUACUUGAGGGAAGAGGGAAUUAUGGAGAGAAAAAUACCCACAGUGCAAGCAACUUCUAGGGGAGUGGGAAUGCAGGCAACAAGAAUGCUCUGUGUCCCUAGACCACCUGCCCCCCAUGAAGAUUAUGACCCUUGCAUGGAGAAGAAUUCACAAAACAAUUUUAUGCUGCCUUGUAAUCUUCUGCCGGACAAUGGAUGCCUCAAGUGUCACAGAGUUCAUAGAGAAACCGGGUCAAAACUGCUGAAACCAUCAGGUAUUCACUGUGUACAACCAGCAUGUUACUUUGAGGUUGGUUGUUCUCAAGCAAAUCUGAACCUGAAUGAAGUCAGUGCUCCUGUUGUUGACAUGUUUGCGAACAAAACUAAUCAGGUGUGGGGGUUAUUUCUCUGUUGCAAGCAUCCACCUGAUCCAGCAGCCCUGUGCCUGCAUGAGCCGCAACUGCGUACCAGUUCAAUUGCUACUGAUUUUCUUCUGGGAGUUCCUUAUGCCUUUUGCUUCUAUUACGUGCUUCAGUCUGGCUAUUUGUCCGCCGUUGUAUCUGAAGCUAUACCGUAUGAACUGGCGACAUUACUGCAUCCUCUGUUGGACACCUCCAAGCUGCAACCUGAUGACUACAACAACAGGUGUCGCCUGCUUCUGUUCAUUUCUGCUAUAGUGGUGUUGCAGAUCGAAAGGGGCAUCUACCGGAUGGGCACCUCUUGGGAUCCUGGCGGACCGACAUGCUUGAUGUUACUGGAAUUGACUCGACAAGCGUCCUAUGAAGGAGGGAGGAGCGUCAUCAUUGUCGUCAUCGUCUUCACACAAAGCUCCAUCGACUGCAAGUGCUACCUCGACUUCAACCGUGGCGGUGCCGACAACGACUACGACGCCUUCUUCGACGGGAUUUUCAUCGGCCACAACAACUACCUCUCCAUCGUUGCAGUCUACCUCGACUUCAGCUACCGCAACGGCUCCAACCAAGCCUGGGAACAUCGAGCGCCAUGGGAUCCAGGAGAUCCUCGGCGGUGUCAGCUUGAGGUCAAGCCGAGUCUCAUCCAGGGAGGGAUGUCGGUGACUAGAUCGUGCCGGGUCCUCAAGUCAGCGAAGAAGCAACGCGUGGUGCACGACCGAGCAUGUGCUCCCGUCCCCCAGAUACUCGCUACCGGCUUGAGGGCAAGCCGGCUUUCAAGGGGGAGGGGAUGUCAGCCCCCUUUCCAGUCAUGGGCUGAGAGUGAUGGGCUAGGCCCAGCCGGCUCCCUACGGCAACAACUACAAGUAGGAGGGCCAAAGCAUCAGGCGAAGGUAUCCGCGUAG
RNAcentral lists this ribosomal RNA (1422 nucleotides) under Triticum aestivum (bread wheat). RNAcentral describes it as "partial small subunit ribosomal RNA". The record is from RNAcentral. Lineage: Eukaryota; Viridiplantae; Streptophyta; Magnoliopsida; Poales; Poaceae.